GCUGGAAUUGUAUGAUUGUGAAGACAUCGCGAACCUUAAAGGUUGAGAAGUGAACGGAUUAUACGGCGAACUGAGACGACGUGAAAAAGGGGAUUGGAAGCGGCAUUGAUGUGAGUACUAAGAGCCAGUCGAAAGUGCCCUGUAUAUUGACCUGGCGUUGUGUAGAUCUCUCCAGGAGGAGGAGGGCGGCCCUACCCCUAAUAUAGCGUGGUGGGAGAGCCGAAGGAAUACUUAUUGAAGUAGUCACAACGACGACAUCACUAGCUAGGCCGCAUAUUCCAUCGCCAGAUCCGAACCAAGCGAAGUGAAGGAAGACGGGUGUCCUUUUCGUACACUGAGUGUGGUGGAUAAACCCCCGCCUUCACGCACUUCGUCGCGGGAGGACAAGGAGACUGCUGGUCCUAGCCUAGUUCAGUACAGUAUAUGUUGUGAGCGUGCUUCAGAUCUCCGGAGAUAGCAUGGUACGCUGUGUCCAGCCCAGAGGUGAAAGCCAUCCAAAGCAGAGUAACUGUGCUUUGUGUCCAAGUUGAUACCUGUGGAGAGGAAAGGAAAGAGAGAGUGAGUAACACAAGGAGAACCAGAGGGAACCUGUACUUACAGUACGCUGUGUCCAGCCCAGAGGUGAAAGCCAUCCAAAGCAGAGUAACUGUGCUUUGUGUCCAAGUUGAUACCUGUGGAGAGGAAAGGAAAGAGAGAGUGAGUAACACAAGGAGAACCAGAGGGAACCUGUACUUACAGUACGCUGUGUUCAGCCCAGAGGUGAGAGCCAUUCAAAGCAAACUAACUGUGCUAUUGUGCCCAAGUUGAUACCUGUGGAGAGAAAAGGAAAGAGAGAUUGAUACCUGUGGAGAGAAAAGGAGAGAGAGUGGGUAACACGAGGAGAGACCGAGGAAAACUGUACUUACGCCGCUACCUGUGGAGAAAGAGAAAGCGAGUGAGCACCCAAGGAACGAACUGUGUGAACCAGUACUUACCGUGAGCUGUAUUCAGCGAAGAGGAGGAAGAAGGAGGGCGCUACGGAUACCUAAGACUCAGGCCGGGGCCCGAGUCCCACGCCCCGGAUCCCCGUGGCCCCCUUUCUCCCUGACCUCUUCCCGGCCAUAGCCCAUCUGGAGGGCCGAGUCAGAGUUUAGUUUUAAUUGCCCUUUCCCUAUUCCCCAAGCUAUUUUUAAAUAUUUAAAUAAAGAUUGUUUUAUCAUUUAUUUGUUCUCGUGUUGUUUGGCCAUUGGGUUGGCUUUGGGGACCUCCUCGAGGUGGAAGUUGAGAAGGGGUGUGGCUUAGUCAAAGCAUAGCCAGCCCCUGGGUGUGACAUUUACA
Cyprinus carpio carpio is the source of this 1317-nucleotide long non-coding RNA. NCBI's taxonomy places the organism in Eukaryota, Metazoa, Chordata, Actinopteri, Cypriniformes, Cyprinidae. The record is from Ensembl.